AACGAACGCUGGCGGCAUGCCUAACGCAUGCAAGUCGAACGAGACCUUCGGGUCUAGUGGCGCACGGGUGCGUAACGCGUGGGAACCUGCCCUUAGGUUCGGAAUAACUCCCCGAAAGGGGUGCUAAUACCGGAUAAUGUCUUCGGACCAAAGAUUUAUCGCCUUUGGAUGGGCCCGCGUUGGAUUAGCUAGUUGGUAGGGUAAAAGCCUACCAAGGCGACGAUCCAUAGCUGGUCUGAGAGGAUGAUCAGCCACACUGGGACUGCGACACGGCCCAGACUCCUACGGGAGGCAGCAGUGGGGAAUAUUGGACAAUGGGCGAAAGCCUGAUCCAGCAAUGCCGCGUGAGUGAUGAAGGCCUUAGGGUUGUAAAGCUCUUUUACCCGGGAUGAUAAUGACAGUACCGGGAGAAUAAGCUCCGGCUAACUCCGUG
Molecule: ribosomal RNA, 433 nt
Filed under: uncultured bacterium
Lineage: Bacteria
Description: partial 16S ribosomal RNA
Rfam family: Bacterial small subunit ribosomal RNA
Source: RNAcentral